GAUCCCACCCGGUGCAGAGCAUUUCCACCCAGGCGUUGGGCAGUGAGGUUGUGCAAUUGGAAGAUCUGCAUAAGGUUAUGGUCUUCAUCCUGAUUGAUGGUCAAAUCCGAGACAUUAUUAUAUAGCCAAAGAUCACAGCGGCAUGUACAAUUAUACCAUGUUCAGGUUGUGGUCUUCAUCCUGAUUGAUGGCUCAAACUUGACAUACACUGAGAUGUAUGAGCUGCAGUUGCUCUUAGUACGAUACUCCAUGCUUGCUGGGAUGUGCUUGCAGUCCCUCUUAGCACAACAAUACAACUUGCCCUUUUAGCAUUUUUUUUCCCUAGAAGGAUUGGUAUAGUGCAUGUCUGAAAUUAUUAUUUGCAAAUACCAGCGAUU
Long non-coding RNA from Lolium rigidum, 377 nucleotides. RefSeq lists it as uncharacterized. The record is from RefSeq and is a predicted model, not a curated record. NCBI's taxonomy places the organism in Eukaryota, Viridiplantae, Streptophyta, Magnoliopsida, Poales, Poaceae. The transcript has 3 exons.